RNA transcript from Schistocerca cancellata (South American locust), 3088 nucleotides. RefSeq lists it as uncharacterized. The record is from RefSeq and is a predicted model, not a curated record. The transcript is spliced from 4 exons. Lineage: Eukaryota; Metazoa; Arthropoda; Insecta; Orthoptera; Acrididae.
GGGGACAUCUCUCUGAUCAGGGCAUCACUGCGGUCCAUUGGGUAAUAAAAAAGGUUGAUGCAGUCUUGGUGCCUGUGCAGUCUUUUUCUGACAUUUGAUAGAGUAGUGCUUCCAUUGAAGUUUAAGGCAGGCUAUGAAGUCAUCACAGCCUGACCGUACAUUGCAAACCCGAUGCAUUGCUACCACUGUCAAGGUUAUAACCAAAUUUGCGUGUCCUGUCAAAACCUGGCCAAAUGUGUUACUUGUGGUAAAAACACUGAAGAGGGCGACUGCCCCCCCCCCCCCCCCCCGCUGUAUCAAUUGUAACAGCAACCAUGCCGCCUCAUCCCGUGAAUGCCUCAUGUAUCUUAAUGAGCAAGCCAUCCAGGAAAUCAGGGUGAAGGAAAAAGUAUCCUAUUCUGUCACUCGCAAUUAGUUGGCUAGUUGAAAGCCCUGCAUUUUACCAUCCAGCACUUACAGCACCAUUCUUGCCAAGCCUUGCUCCACAAAAGACUUAGCCACACAGAAUUGUGACCUCCAAUUCAGUAGUGCAGCUGUGAAAUCGCUCAGUAUCAAGGUAGCAUCCCUGUCUCCUCCUCCUGCAGCAGUGCAACAUACUGUCAAAUCUUCGCCCCAGCAGUGAAAUCACCUGCUACGCAACCAAACGGGCCGGAAAGGACAAAAGGAAUAAUCCUACAAGGACUUUUUAUGUCCCUCUAGCUGACAAAUGUCUCCAUCUUAGUCUGCCAACUGUAAAGGCUGUAAGAAAUCAAACAAAGGCAAUCCGUCUUAUCCUUCCUUGACUCGCGUCACUGUAUGAUACGCUUACCUGGCUGACCUCCAUUUUGCUGGUGCGCACUGCCAACCAUUUUUCUGCCCUGGAAUCCAUAGGCCAACCCAGGGAGAUGCCAAUUCCUCUGUACAUUUCUUGGAACAGGACCCUCCAGCUUCUGUGCCCUGUAGCAGUGUAUCUUCAAAGGCUGUCAAACAGCAGCCACUGAGGUGAGUACCCUUUAUCCCUCCCACGCAUUACGAUUCUUCUCCAAUGGAAUGUCCAUGUCAUUAGAUCAAACAAUGAGGAAUUAUGGUUUCUCUUGGAAUCACAGUGUCCACUUGUUUUCUGCUUCCAAGAAAUAAAGUUGCAUCCUUGCAACUGCUUUGACCUGCUGUUUUCCCUUCUGGUCCACUUUGGCCAUUGUCACCUUUCACACUAGUCCAGUUGACAGUUUCUAUACAGAAGCUGUUGAACUACACUGUCUUAUGGAUAUGACGUCCUUGUGCAGUGGAUAUGCAUGCGGUUUGUCUGCCAUCCCUGACCACCCAUACUACACACUCUUUUUCGAUGAUUCCAUUGGCUGCCUAUAUGGGGUGCACUGCUCUUCUCUGUUACCUCUGGAGUUCACUUUCGGCUACUGCUCUGGCACUUAGCUUCACGUUAUCUGCCACAUUCCCAAUGGGUGUGAACACUUCAUUGCUUUGGCUUUGUGUGGUGGCUCGUGUUAAUCUUGGACUUCAUUCCCUUCCUAAGGUCACUACUCCGGAUUUGGUCUAUCGCUUUUAGCUUCUCGACCAUCGCACACAACUUAGCGAUAGCAUCGUCCUGCACACUGAUGACUCUAAGACUGACUAUGGUGUUGGGUGUACCUUCUUCAAUGGCACCAACCAUUUCGGUAUCAGCUUCCAGAACGCUGUUCGAUUUUUAUAGCAACUCUUCACCUUCUACCAAGCUACCCAGUACAUCCAGUGACACAGGCUUUUUUUGUCAUAUGCUGUGAUUCUCUCAGUGCCCUUCAGAGCCUUUGUGUGCUGCACACAGUACAUCCCAUAGUGUAAUGGGUCCAAGAGAGCUUCCGGAGUAAAUUUAACCUUCUUCUCUCAACACUUCCUAGAUCUAGCAGAAAUAUUGUGAUGAUACUAACUCUUGUUUGUUGUUGUUGGGAACCACUGUGAUGUUCAUCUUGGUACCUAGUCACCUCAGUGUGGUGGGAAAUGAGGCUGCUGCUAAUGCUACUGCCAAGGCUACAGUCCUCCUACGUCAGCCUGCUAGCUAUUCCAUUACUUCGGAUGAUCUCCGUGUUGCUGUCUGUCGGCAGAUGGUGUCACUCUGGCAUCAUGGGAGCACACACUGGCUCGAGACCACUGUCUCUAUGGCAUAUUUUGCAGAACUUUCUCCAAAGGCGUAGAAAAUGUCUUCUCAUGAACUGUUAAGAACUCCAGAGGAAAUAAUAAGAGAAUUUGAACGUCAAGAGGCUGAAAACGUGUAUUACAGUGAAUCAGACGAAGAUGUGAGUGAAUCUGAAGACAGUCAUAUCACAGACGACCAUGAGGAUGACGAAUUCAAUGUACCGCCAUUUGAGGUUGAUUCAUCAGAUGAAGGAGAUAGCCAAUCAUGUACAGACAAAAAGGAAGGAGAACAAUGUACAAAGCUGGCUAGCAACUGCCACUGUGAGAUGAACACACAACAAUAAUGGAGCUACAUAAAAAAUAUAGAAUUGAUAAUUUUGUCAAAGUGCUCCACGCAGUGUCAAAUUGAAUAUAUGACAAAUAACUGAGAUGAUAACAAAUGGCCUCCUGGCAGUCCUACAGUCACAUUAUGGGUAGCAAACCAGAUGGACAUUAACAAAUGUCAUUAAUGACAAGCUCAAGUGACACAAAAAUAUUUGAUGAUUAUGAAAAACAAGAUAUUACAUCUCCAUUCUCCACAGUACAAAGUUGAUGAAUAAGGCAUGGCUGUGUGCACAGUGCGGCUGCCUCGAGUCGACUAAACAUGCUGCUGCCUCACGAGCGUCAAGGGCCCCCACAGGCCCCCUCCAGGGGUCCCCAGCGGAUGUGCCUCGUGAUAACAGCGCCAGCGCGCCCCGAUUGCGCAACCGCAACUUGAUUUUCCAGCAACACGGGCCUAGUAAUACUAGGGCCCGUGUCACGCGGCUGCCUCGCUCAGCGGCUAAGUCCGCUUCAAGGUCACCCGCCUUAUGCGGCUAUGUACAUUAACUGCACACAGACAUGUAUGUUCUGUCUUUGUUAUUGUUAAUGUUGGCAUACAAUGUUCUGAUAAAUCUUGAUACAGAAAUAGUUUAUGGAUAACUGAAAAAAACAAAAAAAAGCAAAA